GCUCCUUAACUCAUAAAAUUUGAAUCAAAUACAACUGGAUUAAUACCCAAAUCUUAGACACUUAGUAAUAAAAAUUCAAAAAAUCGAAAUUGAGUUUAAAUUCAAGACCACACCCAUCUCAUUCUCCUUCUUCCACUUAUUCUUCUGCUUUUUCUUCUUCAUCCUCUCCCUCUUAUUCUUGUUCUUCUUCAUAGCCUUCCUUUUCGGAGUUUUGCUGAUGACCAUGUAACAAUUCUUUCACAAUUUUUCCAGCUACCUUUUUCACCAAAUCCCUCUUCUUCUUCUUCUUAUCAUCAUGACUUUCUUUUUUCUUAUCGACAUUACUUUCAUCAUUAAUCUCAUGAGUUUCUUCUGGCUUAUUUUGAGCUGCACGUGGAUCAUCUCCGUGUUUGCGGUGUAUAUAUAACUUCUCUUCCAUCUUGUGCAACAUUCUUGACAUAAUGCCAGUCUACAUGAUAAACAAUUAAUGCAAUCUAGACGAUAGAAGUGAAUACACAUGGUUGGAUAGAACUAAGUGUUAGUUAUUUCUAUUUUGUAGACUCACAUAUUAAUAUAUUAUACAUAGAUAUGAUAUAUUUCAAGAAGUCCAAUUUAUGAUCUAAUAAAGUAUUAAUAUUUGAGCCUAAAAGUAAAUAUUUAUUAGUAUGAAUUUAAUUGAAAUUAUAAGAAACUCAUAUUGAUCUUUUCUUAAGUCUGAUGGAGACUUAUUGAACAGUUAUCUUUUCAACCUGAAAAGGUAUGCAGGUUAUUAAGGGAAAACAAACAAAUAUAAGGAUAAGAGGUGCUGAUAGGAUUAAAGAACCUUUAAAGUUGAUACAUACAGGUGCGGUCCGUACCCUACGACUUCAUGAAAUGGUCAAUAAUAUUUUAUUAACUUUAUAGAUGACUACUUCCGUUACGGAUAUCUCUAUUAAAUUCGUGAGAGGUCACAAUCUUUGAAUGUUUUAAAAAAUUUUUAAAGCAGAAGUUGAAGCUCAAUUAGGCAAGAAAAUUAAGGCUGUCAAAUCUGACUGUGGAGGAGAAUGCUACGGUAUAUACGAUAGAUUAGGUGGACAACAUCCAAGACCUUUUGUAAAGUAUUUGAUAGAGUGUGGGAUUGUACCUCAACACACUAUGCCAGGAACUUCAAGUCAAAAUAGUGUAGCUGAGAGAUGAAAUCGAACUUUUAAGGAUAUGGUAAAAAGUAUGAUUAGUCAUUCUUCUUUACCUGAAUUGCUUUGAGGAGAAGCAUUAAAAACUGUCGUUUAUAUACUAAACAAAAUUUCAAGUAAAGCAAUAGAUAAGACUCCAUACGAAUUGUGGACCGAUAAGAAGCCCAAUAUUAAACACUUGCAUGUCUGGAUACAUGCAUGUUUACAUACACAUAAAACCAGAGGAUAACAUAUUACAAAUUUCAAAUCACCGGUUGAGAUGUAUCUUAAGAACAUAUAUUCUUAGAUGAAUAAACCUGAAUACAAAUAUAAAGGCACACAACAACUGGGUUGAUGUCAUGUUCUAUACCCUUUUAAAUAGUGCAAGUUGGGACGUGAAAAUUGACUCUUCAAUAUUGGUAAGGGGUUAGCAUUCCUGAGCCCUGUGGUUCUAGCACGAUUUACUUUAUGAUUAAAUCAAUUUUUGGAUAAGUUAGGUUUGAUUAAUUAUUAAAUGUAUGUAAAGAAUAGGCAGAAAAAGGCCUUUUAAUUAUGAGAUUUGAUCAAGGAACGUAACCACACACGUGACCAGACCUGAUAUAUUAAUUGAUUGCUUGCAAUUCACAACACUUCUAGCUUAUUCACAAUAGACUAUUUUUAAAACAAUUAGGUUUUGAACUUAUUUAUACAUAACUUUGAUCUAUGCUUUAAACAAAUUUAAUAACGAAAGGCUGCGAGAUUAUUCAGCAUGCAAAAUAAAAAACAUAAUUUAUAUUAUAGAGCCAAAAACUAAUAAGCACUUUGAGACACAUGAGAUUUAAGUCACUUGUAACAGUGUAAUCAGAUUUUAUAUAAACAUGGAAUUGAAUAAUACGAAGAAGAUUGAGGGUUACCUUUUGUUAAAAUUGAUUUGCAAAGGAAAAACCUCUAGAAUCCACUAAUUUCAAAGUUAACAAGAGCUUAACUUUCAGUAGCGACAAACUUAAAACCGUGCGGGAGUUUAGUUGAUGUCUUCUUUUUUUUUCUCUGGUUCGUGUCUCUCUGUUUGUUUUGG
Molecule: long non-coding RNA, 2184 nt
Filed under: Capsicum annuum
Lineage: Eukaryota; Viridiplantae; Streptophyta; Magnoliopsida; Solanales; Solanaceae
Description: long non-coding RNA (CANN_LNC003092)
Source: RNAcentral